This is an RNA transcript of Xyrauchen texanus (razorback sucker), 2531 nucleotides long. It is a transcript of the gene named tripartite motif containing 13, with no coding region annotated. The record is from RefSeq and is a predicted model, not a curated record. Lineage: Eukaryota; Metazoa; Chordata; Actinopteri; Cypriniformes; Catostomidae. The transcript is spliced from 5 exons.
CAGUUCCACAGAUCCGCCUCCCACUUUUCACUAUGACCACAUCCGUCCCUGGAAAACCCAAAAGAAAAAAAGCUAACUCUCAUGACCACAGCGCCACAACACAUCCAGAAGGAUACGAUGGAGCUCUUGGAGGAAGACCUUACAUGCCCGAUAUGCUGUUGUCUUUUCGAGGACCCACGCGUUCUGCCGUGCUCACACAGCUUCUGCAAGAAGUGUCUCGAGGGCAUCCUGGACGGGAACCGGAGCCCUGCAUGGAGACCACCGUUCAAAUGUCCGACCUGUCGAAAGGAGACCGUGCACAACGGCAUCGCGAGCUUGCAAGUCAAUUACUCCCUGCGUGGCAUCGUGGAGAAGUACAACAAGAUUCGAGUGCUGCCAAAGAUGUCACUCUGUCGAGCACACAGUGGACAACCGCUCAAUAUUUUCUGCGCCACGGACCUGAAACUCAUAUGUGGCUUUUGCGCCACGACAGGUGUUCAUAAAGGACACAAGUUUUGCGCGCUGGAAGAGGCGUACGAUCGCGAGAAGGCUGCGUUUGAGGAGUUGUUUCGAGUCGUGGAAGGCUGGAGGGGUGCGGAGGUGCAUUCGUGCUUGGAGUCGUUGGAGGGAGCGAAGAAGAAAGCCCUGGAGAGGGUCUCACGGGACGCUGAUCGAGUUUCAGAGUACUUUGACAAACUCCUGCGCGCCCUGGAGCACAAACGAAGCGAAAUCCUCUCAGAUUUUGAGACUCUUAAGCUCGCGGUCAUGCAGACCUUUGACCCCGAGAUCAACCGAUUGCGCUCGGCGCUGGAGGAGCAGCGGCGCGCACUCAACAUCGCCGAAUCCUUUCGUUCUCUCUCCGAUCCGCUCACCUUCCUGCAACAGAUGCAGGACUUCAGAGAAAACCUGCGCGUCCUUCGGGGAACGCCUCUGCCAUCGCGGACAGACAUGGACGUGGGUCUUCUUGGCUUGCAGAACUUCGAUGUGAAGGAAUGGGACCGGUUCCGUCUUGGAGAGGUGGACAAACUGUGCGCCCCCUACGAGAGCAACGCUUGCCUGGCUCCACCGCCCCCUGCUGCGCCGCGCUUCUCCCGUAUGAUGUGGAGAGUUCUUCUGGUUGUAUGUGCGUGUCUCCCUGCGCUGAACUUUCUGCCUUCAGACUGUAUUUCCUUAAGCUUCCACGAGAAAGUGAUGACACUCGGUGGCUUUUCUUUGCCCGGUCAUGGAGAAAUUCUGCGCUGGCUCGGGUUCUGCUGGAAAGAAGCGGCAGCAAUCUGCACACUUUUAACCGAGAUGUGCCGAAACUGCAUCUUGGAAAUGAUAAACACGACAUCAGAUUUCAUCAGCUGAUUCUAUAGAACUCCAUCCAUUAGGCCAUUCAGAUUGCUCCAGUGAAGCUGAGUGACUUCUCUAUGUUGGACUGAUGAUUCAGUCCAUGAAGGGAUUCCAGUAACAUAUGGCUUGAGGUUUUCCAGGACUCCAUCUGAAACACAAGAGAGUAGGAUGCUUGAGUCACACUGACAGUAUGCUAGACGUGAGGCUGCCAGUUUACCAGGCUCGAUGGAGCUCUUGGCAGAAGCACUUCUCAGCACCUAUCCUAUAUUAUACCAAAACCUGGCCUGUUGCUACUCAUCAAAAUGCAAUAUCAAGGAAGUAUGAAACAAGCACAAUUUUCUUCUAGACCAAACUGGAUUUAGCCCAACAUCCAUCCUCCUAAUCAUCUUCAACAUCGGAAUCAGCCUGCCACCAGAUUUCCAAAGCGGUGUCGAAUCCAACAUCAGUAGAUAUCGCCACUAGACCAAAACAUAUAAGGAAUUUGUUGUCCUUUCUGAAUCAAUUUUACAUCAUUUUGUAUUUAUGUAAAAUCUUUAAUGUUAGUGUUUACCAUGUGGGAGUUGACGAGAGACAUCAUUAAUGUGUUUGAACACCUCAAUGUGAAGUACUAGUUAUAUUAGUAAUUAACAAUAUUUGGACUGAAUACAUGUAACUGGGAUUUUAAUACCAAAUACAGUAACCAAGCAGCAGCAGUUCCUUGACAUAUCAGCUUUGUGAACACCUAGAAACUAGUUAUGAAGUAAAUAAAAUAAAAAUAAUAAUUUAUCAUCACCCAUGGGAGAAUUCUGAACAAUCAUUCCAGUAAAUCUUUAUGCCUGCAAAAAUAGUACCAAAUGGUUGAGCAAUGAACUGUGGCAGAAGGUGGAAGCUCCUGCAUACUGCAUGCCCACUGCAGUUUAAAGCCAGCAUUAUAAAUUCAAUAAUAAAAAAAAAUUAUAAUAAUUGUUUCAAUGUAUUAUAGCUAGUUGUUAUUCACUGUUAUACAUUUAAUAAACUGUAUAUUUUGGAAAAGCGAGGGAUGGCAGAUGACAUGAACAGUAAUACAAAUUUCAUGGUAAUGAAUUUGUGAAAAGAGUUUUAAGCAAAUAAAUGAUGGUCUAAACUAUCACGCUUUCUUUAUUAGGAAUCUUAAGGGGCUUGCUAACAGAAAGGUUACAAACUUACUAACAUAAUCAUGGAAUUUGGGUCAAUGAUGCAACACGGCUUCACAGUCAAGA